Nycticebus coucang (slow loris) is the source of this 107-nucleotide small nuclear RNA. Lineage: Eukaryota; Metazoa; Chordata; Mammalia; Primates; Lorisidae. The record is from RefSeq and is a predicted model, not a curated record.
GUGUUCAUUUUGGCAGCACAUAUACUAAAAUUGGAACAAUACAGAGAAGAUUAGCAUGGCACUUCCUCAAGGAUGACAUGCCAAUUUGUGAAGCAUUCCAUAUUUUU